This 119-nucleotide ribosomal RNA is filed under the name Fleroya rubrostipulata. Its description in RNAcentral is "5.8S ribosomal RNA". It matches the Rfam family "5.8S ribosomal RNA", at positions 1 to 112 of the family's 154-position model. From Rfam's summary of the family: 5.8S ribosomal RNA (5.8S rRNA) is a component of the large subunit of the eukaryotic ribosome. It is transcribed by RNA polymerase I as part of the 45S precursor that also contains 18S and 28S rRNA. The record is from RNAcentral. Lineage: Eukaryota; Viridiplantae; Streptophyta; Magnoliopsida; Gentianales; Rubiaceae.
UCCGAACGACUCUCGGCAACGGAUAUCUCAGCUCUCGCAUCGAUGAAGAACGUAGCAAAAUGCGAUACUUGGUGUGAAUUGCAGAAUCCCGUGAACCAUUGAGUUUUUGAAUGCAAGUU